This 121-nucleotide ribosomal RNA is filed under the name Entamoeba hartmanni. RNAcentral's name for it is "partial small subunit ribosomal RNA". Lineage: Eukaryota; Evosea; Mastigamoebida; Endamoebidae. The record is from RNAcentral.
AGAUACAUUCAGGCCUUUGCAUCAUUAAUGGUGUGAAGAGAAAAGAUAUCCAAAGUGAAAGUGGGUAUCAUGACAAUUGUAGAAUAGAAAUAUUUAACAAGUAAUCGAUGAGAAUAUCUGA